Venturia canescens is the source of this 384-nucleotide long non-coding RNA. RefSeq lists it as uncharacterized. The record is from RefSeq and is a predicted model, not a curated record. NCBI's taxonomy places the organism in Eukaryota, Metazoa, Arthropoda, Insecta, Hymenoptera, Ichneumonidae. The transcript has 3 exons.
UUGACAUUCCACCUUCCUUGGUAUAUGGACGCUCCAUAUCACUUGUUUCGAUUGUUUGGGGUUUCACUUCUUUAGAAGGACGACUUUUUACUACGGGGUUUGGUUUUUCUUUGUAAUGAUAAACUCACGUUGAAUAAAUUUUUGACGAGGACUAUUGUGCAGAGAGAAAAUGAGGUCAGGUUUUUUCCAUUAAGACACGUUUCAACGGUUGAUGGACUCUCGAAUUUUGUGAGGAUUGCUGUGACAGUGACGAUUUUUGGCACGAAUAAACUCACUUUUUCACGACAAAUGACGAUGGAAAUGAAUUUGUUUAACCCUUUCAGUCAUGAAUUUUUCAUCUACAUCAGUUUUCAUCAAAAUUGGUUAAAGAUUCAUUAAAAGAUU